CAGCUGCGAUAAGUAGUGUGAAUUGCAGAACUCAGCGAAUCAUCGAAUCUUUGAACGCAAAUGGCGCUCCCUGGUUCUCCAGGGAGCAUGUCUGUCUGAGCGUCAUGUCAAGAACCUACACACACUUGUGCUCUGCCUAGUGCAGUGUAAGCAAGUGUGUGGCGUUGAGACAUCACAGCCACUCACAGCUAGUGCGUGACUGCGUGUCUUGAAGUGAAGUAUCACGGCUCCAAACUCGUGCAAUCGAGUGAGAGCAGCAAAACGUACUGCUGUUUACAGCACACAUACUGUCUGCCUCUCCUUGCAACGGCGAGCCUUUGAGGAAGUGAUAAUCAUUUUGAUUCAUUUUAUCAUUUUGAUGAUUGAUUCAAAAAAGUUACUAUUGGAUAACAACAAUAGCAACAAUUGUGAUUUUGACCUCAGAUCAGGCAAGACUACCCGCUGAAUUUAA
Molecule: ribosomal RNA, 451 nt
Filed under: Aurelia sp. KS-2011
Lineage: Eukaryota; Metazoa; Cnidaria; Scyphozoa; Semaeostomeae; Ulmaridae
Description: eukaryotic LSU rRNA
Rfam family: 5.8S ribosomal RNA (bases 1-105)
Source: RNAcentral